This 485-nucleotide ribosomal RNA is filed under the name uncultured Pseudomonadota bacterium. RNAcentral describes it as "bacterial SSU rRNA". It matches the Rfam family "Bacterial small subunit ribosomal RNA", at positions 8 to 522 of the family's 1533-position model. The record is from RNAcentral. Lineage: Bacteria; Pseudomonadati; Pseudomonadota.
AGAGUUUGAUCAUGGCUCAGAACGAACGCUGGCGGCAUGCCUAACACAUGCAAGUCGAACGCUUUUGGGGCUUCGGCCUCAAGGGAGUGGCGCACGGGUGAGUAGCGCGUGGGAACCUGCCUUUUUGUGGGGGAUAACCGAGGGAAACUUCGGCUAAUACCGCAUGCGCCGGGAGCGAUCCCGGGAAAGAUUUUAUCGCAGGAAGAGGGGCCCGCGUCGGAUUAGCUAGUUGGUGGGGUAACGGCCUACCAAGGCACCGAUCCGUAGCUGGUCUGAGAGGAUGAUCAGCCACACUGGGACUGAGACACGGCCCAGACUCCUACGGGAGGCAGCAGUGGGGAAUAUUGGACAAUGGGCGCAAGCCUGAUCCAGCAAUGCCGCGUGAGUGAUGAAGGCCUUAGGGUUGUAAAGCUCUUUCGCCCGCGACGAUGAUGACGGUAGCGGGAGAAGAAGCCCCGGCUAACUUCGUGCCAGCAGCCGCGGUA